Osmia lignaria (orchard mason bee) is the source of this 682-nucleotide non-coding RNA. NCBI's taxonomy places the organism in Eukaryota, Metazoa, Arthropoda, Insecta, Hymenoptera, Megachilidae. The record is from RefSeq and is a predicted model, not a curated record.
AAUUCAUUAACCUUACAUUAUUAUCAAUAACCUUUUCUUUCACUAACGUGCUGAAAUUUAAAAUUUAGGAUAAAUAUGCUGCAAUUUCUAGAAAAAUCACAUCCUAAGAAAAAAAGCUACGUUCGUCCAGAGAGCGGAGAGAACCGGAAAUAAAUAAGAAGUGGAGCAGGACGCAGGGGUCAGAGGAUCAUAUACCUGCACGUUCCUGGGGGACACUGACAUCGUCCACUACCUGUUCGAUCGAGAGCAUGCGUGUGGAAAAACCUGUUUCCCGGGGGAUCGGAUUCGAAUGGGCCAGUCGAAGGGGAACCGUCAGGUUCGCAGGUCAGAAUGGACCCAAGGGUGAAACGGUGCGGGUCACGCAGGAUUCUACAUGGAAGGGAGUAGAGUGUCGGUGUGUCCAGUUGCUUGAAACCGUUUUCGAGGAAAGAAGAAGAUGGACAACGGGCACGGCACGAGGUGACCGUUGGCUAAAACGAUCAAUCGGAUCAACAGGGUGUUCUCGGUGACAGGGGGUUGAUCAACGACCACUGGUUCUAAAAACAAUUUCUCGCUGACUAAUUUGACGAUCUUGAAGGGGAUGGAUAUUGUUAAUGAAUCGGGGUGCUUAAUCUUGUUUAUCCUUUAAUGUCUAGAAUUACUGUGUCGAAAUGACAAAGAAAUCCUCAGUCGGGUCGUAAUA